Molecule: long non-coding RNA, 448 nt
Organism: Sphaeramia orbicularis (orbiculate cardinalfish)
Lineage: Eukaryota; Metazoa; Chordata; Actinopteri; Kurtiformes; Apogonidae
Exons: 2
Source: RefSeq, a predicted model, not a curated record
UGCAUAUUCUUUACAAAUGACAGUGAAGUAUCAGGAAGGGGAGAAAGAAAACGAAAGUAAAAAGUAAGGAGGAGUGCACGGUAAAAUACGCGUACAGUCUUCUAUGCGCAGCGUGGAGGGUUUUUUUUGUUUUGUUUUUUUUUUUUGUUCAUACAUACAUUAGUUCAAAGUAAAUGUUAAUUCAGAAGAAGCAAGUUUGUUCCUAAAUAUUUUUUGUUACCAGAGGAUUAAGGAGGACCACUGUUCAGUGUGUUUCAUGACAGUUCUCCGGCUGGGUUUUUUUACGGUCGAUUUCUGAAAGAGACGACUGCAAUCUGAGGUGUUCCAGUCAGCAGGAACCAGACCGCUCAUCACUGCUGCUGCAUGCAGAGGAGUCACAGAGACAGACCAUGGAUUUGGAUUCGUCAGCUUUCCACGUGGAUUCCAGAUAAGAUUUAGAAGAGAGAAA